AUAUUGCACAAUGGGGGAAACCCUGAGGCAGCAACGCCGCGUGAGCGAUGAAGGCCUUCGGGCCGAAAAGCUCGUCCCUAAGGGAAGAUAAUGAUGGUACCUUAGGAGGAAGCCCCGGAUAACUAAGUGCCAGCAGCCGCGGUAAUACGUAGGGGGCAACCGUUAACCGGAAUCAUUGGGCGUAAAGGGGGCGUAGGCUGCCCUAUAGGUCAGAGGUCAAAGGCUACGGCUCAACCGUAGUAAGCCUUUGAAACUGUAGGGCUUGAGUGCAGGAGAGGAGAGUGGAAUUCCUAGUGUAGCGGUGAAAUGCGUAGAUAUUAGGAGGAACACCAGUGGCGAAGGCGACUCUCUGGACUGCAACUGACGCUGAGGCACGAAAGCGUGGGUAGCGAACA
RNAcentral lists this ribosomal RNA (395 nucleotides) under uncultured bacterium. Its description in RNAcentral is "partial 16S ribosomal RNA". It matches the Rfam family "Bacterial small subunit ribosomal RNA", at positions 361 to 774 of the family's 1533-position model. The record is from RNAcentral.